GUUUGAGCUGGAUCAGAGGGUGGACUUAGCUGGAUAUCAGCUGCUAGUUCAUGCCGCUUAUCUGAUUGGCGUCUUAAAGGGGCUGAAGCUGAGCAGUAAUUAACGGAUUGCUUGCCCUAAAACUAAAUUUGAUCAGUUUACUCUGCGGUAUUAGAAUAACUAACAGUGUUUUCCAGAGAUAUUUCAUAUUUUGAAGGUGGAGAUAGGAGCGCUCGGAUUUAUUUGGUUGGUGUCAGGAAAUAUUGGGUAUUAUUUAGCUUUAGCGGAUGCCGGAUUUUGUACUCGAGACUCGAGGUAACAUGUGGUGACUAGUGGGUUCUGUAGUCAAAGGAACCAUACUGAUCAUAUUGUUUUUGGUUGUUAAAAUUAAUCAGCAAAAUGAGUUUAGAAAACGAAGAGCAACAUGGAUUGAAUCAGCACGCUGAAGCAAGACAGGAAUCAGAAAAGAAGUUAAAAUUUUCUUAUACAAGAGAGUUUCUACUAUCGUUGAGUGAAUUGGAUGUUUGCAAAAAUUUACCAAGUGGAUUCGACCCAUCGCUUCUAAGUGAAUUUGAAGAUGCCUCGCAGGAUAGAUUCAGGAUUUCUGGCAGCUUAUCAUCCCAAAGUUAUAGACGUAAUGAAUAUGGUUCAUCACCACCCGCUAGAGGGGAUAUGAGUAAUUAUUCUCGGGGAAUUCAUGGAAGGUGGGAUAGUCGUUCCUCUGGAAGGAGUGAUCGUGACAGUGACUCCCAAUCUGACUGGGAUUCAGAUUCUGGAAAGCGUUUUGGCAAUCAGUCUCGGCGACCUUGGCAAGUUCCUGAGCAUGAUGGACUCCUUGGAAGUGGUUCUUUUCCAAGACCAUCCGGAUAUACUGCAGGGGCAUCAGCUCCAAAGUUUCGAGCUAAUGAUCACUA
RNAcentral lists this unclassified non-coding RNA (893 nucleotides) under Hevea brasiliensis (rubber tree). Lineage: Eukaryota; Viridiplantae; Streptophyta; Magnoliopsida; Malpighiales; Euphorbiaceae. The record is from RNAcentral.